UUUCCCCUUAAACAUAAACAAACACCAUUCCCAUCUUUUCCUCCUAUUCAUCACUGCAUCCUUGGCAAGAACUUUUUCCCCUUUUUACUCUUUGUUGGCAAGCUUUCAAGGGUAGUCAAAGCCAAGGCUGAAAAAAAUUAUGACCAACCCACUCACGACUGCUGUGGCAAAACUGCUGCAUUGUAAUUGCAUGGGGAGACAAAGGCUGGGGGCUUUUAUAUGUUUCAAUGGUCAUUUAAAGCUACUAACCUUGAAGGCAAUGACAUCCACUGACCCUAAAAGGUUGAGUCAGGUACUCAAAGGUCAACAGAGGAACAUGAUGUCCAAGAGCUGGGUACAAGACACAAGGCUGGAAGUUCAGAAGUUUAUCAGGAAAGACAUUGCAUUGGGAACUGACUCCUAAAUGUAUUUGUGCAUUAUAUUAACCAGUCAUUCAGUAAAAUAUUGAAAUAGUCAUUUCAGAUAAGGACUCCAGAAGAAAUCUCUCUCUCAGGAGCUGGAUUUCAGGAGAAGGCUAAGGACAGUGAUCCCUCACCAAGAAAAUGAAAGCCUCUCUCCAGGGGUAUGAGAGGUGCUGCUGUAGCUCCAAAAAGGGUUUAAAUGUAAGAUAGCAGCAUGUUCAGUACUGCCUACAGAGUAGCAUAGAGCUGUCUGCUAAUCUCUGGCAAUAUCUCAGCAUUUGUCAGAGUCAUGAUUUAUUGAGCAGUGAGAGUGUUCCUCACCUUGCAAGAUCAGGUCCCUAGAUUGUAACACAUUUUCUUGUUCACCAAAAAGGCUCAUCCACAACAAAGAAAUUAAAGAAACAGAGAGAAUUAUUCAGUGACACCAGAAACAAUGAAGGAAAAACUAUGUGUAAGCCUUGGCAAAACAUCUCUAAACAGCACUUUGAGCUUGCAGCACAGCCCAGCCGUAUUUCAGAGCCAAAGAGAAGAUUUUUUUUUUGUACUAAUGUGCAUCAGGCUGAGACUGGGACCCAGAAAUUGCUGCAAAUACUCAGCUCCUGAAGGCUGUAUAAACCCAGUGGGAUCCUGCUGUGCUUGAGAGGAGAGAGGGCUGAAAUCUAAGUAAUGGCCAAAGUCCAGAUUUUGAAAGAAAAAGGAUUAAUGAAGCCUGCUAUAGUAGUGUACCUGGGAUAACAUCAUAAUUAGAGAUUAAUAACAACCACUUCAUAAAGUCUGACACUUUUCUGUUCCUUAGUACCAUUGCUGUAUCGAGUGAGUUUUUGAUGCCUUAGAAUAAAAGUGUAUGUCAGAGUGAACUAGAACA
RNAcentral lists this long non-coding RNA (1266 nucleotides) under Anser brachyrhynchus (Pink-footed goose). RNAcentral describes it as "lncRNA (ENSABRG00000012873.1)". The record is from RNAcentral. Lineage: Eukaryota; Metazoa; Chordata; Aves; Anseriformes; Anatidae.